GAGGAAUAUUGGGCAAUGGGCGCAAGCCUGACCCAGCCAUGCCGCGUGAAGGAUGAAUGCCCUAUGGGUUGUAAACUUCUUUUGUACGGGACGAAACUCCUGGUCGUGACCGGGAUUGACUGUACCGUGCGAAUAAGCAUCGGCUAACUCCGUGCCAGCAGCCGCGGUAAUACGGAGGAUGCAAGCGUUAUCCGGAUUCAUUGGGUUUAAAGGGUGCGUAGGCGGAAUAAUAAGUCAGUGGUGAAAGCCUGCGGCUUAACCGUAGAAUUGCCAUUGAUACUGUUAUUCUUGAGUAUAGUUGAGGUGGGCGGAAUGUGUAAUGUAGCGGUGAAAUGCUUAGAUAUUACACAGAACACCAAUUGCGAAGGCAGCUCACUAAGCUGUUACUGACGCUGAGGCACGAAAGCGUGGGGAGCAAAC
RNAcentral lists this ribosomal RNA (420 nucleotides) under uncultured bacterium. RNAcentral's name for it is "bacterial SSU rRNA". It matches the Rfam family "Bacterial small subunit ribosomal RNA", at positions 356 to 773 of the family's 1533-position model. The record is from RNAcentral.